This 475-nucleotide ribosomal RNA is filed under the name Neisseria sp. oral taxon 020. RNAcentral describes it as "bacterial SSU rRNA". It matches the Rfam family "Bacterial small subunit ribosomal RNA", at positions 30 to 493 of the family's 1533-position model. Lineage: Bacteria; Pseudomonadati; Pseudomonadota; Betaproteobacteria; Neisseriales; Neisseriaceae. The record is from RNAcentral.
AUUGAACGCUGGCGGCAUGCUUUACACAUGCAAGUCGGACGGCAGCACAGAGAAGCUUGCUUCUUGGGUGGCGAGUGGCGAACGGGUGAGUAAUGUAUUGGAACGUACCGAGUAAUGGGGGAUAACCAAUCGAAAGAUUGGCUAAUACCGCAUACGUCCUGAGGGGGAAAGCGGGGGAUCUUCGGACCUCGCGUUAUUCGAGCGGCCAAUAUCUGAUUAGCUGGUUGGUGGGGUAAAGGCCUACCAAGGCGACGAUCAGUAGCGGGUCUGAGAGGAUGAUCCGCCACACUGGGACUGAGACACGGCCCAGACUCCUACGGGAGGCAGCAGUGGGGAAUUUUGGACAAUGGGCGCAAGCCUGAUCCAGCCAUGCCGCGUGUCUGAAGAAGGCCUUCGGGUUGUAAAGGACUUUUGUCAGGGAAGAAAAGGCUUUUGAUAAUACCAGGAGCUGAUGACGGACCUGAAGAAUAAGCAC